GUGGGGAAUAUUGGACAAUGGGCGAAAGCCUGAUCCAGCCAUGCCGCGUGAGUGAUGAAGGCCUUAGGGUUGUAAAGCUCUUUCAGUAGGGAAGAUAAUGACGGUACCUACAGAAGAAGCCCCGGCUAACUUCGUGCCAGCAGCCGCGGUAAUACGAAGGGGGCUAGCGUUGUUCGGAUUUACUGGGCGUAAAGCGCACGUAGGCGGAUUGGUCAGUUAGGGGUGAAAUCCCAGAGCUCAACUCUGGAACUGCCCUUAAUACUGCCAAUCUAGAGUCCGGAAGAGGUGAGUGGAACUCCUAGUGUAGAGGUGGAAUUCGUAGAUAUUAGGAAGAACACCAGUGGCGAAGGCGGCUCACUGGUCCGGUACUGACGCUGAGGUGCGAAAGCGUGGGGAGCAAACAGGAUUAGAAACCCUAGUAGUCC
Molecule: ribosomal RNA, 425 nt
Filed under: uncultured bacterium
Lineage: Bacteria
Description: partial 16S ribosomal RNA
Rfam family: Bacterial small subunit ribosomal RNA
Source: RNAcentral